Molecule: ribosomal RNA, 481 nt
Filed under: uncultured bacterium
Lineage: Bacteria
Description: partial 16S ribosomal RNA
Rfam family: Bacterial small subunit ribosomal RNA
Source: RNAcentral
GAUGAACGCUGGCGGCGUGCUUAACACAUGCAAGUCGAACGAAGCAUUUGCGACAGAUUUUUUCGGAAUGAAGUUGCUUAUGACUGAGUGGCGGACGGGUGAGUAACGCGUGGGUAACCUGCCUUGUACUGGGGGAUAGCAGCUGGAAACGGCUGGUAAUACCGCAUAAGCGCACAAUGUUGCAUGACAUGGUGUGAAAAACUCCGGUGGUAUAAGAUGGACCCGCGUCUGAUUAGCUAGUUGGUGAGAUAACAGCCCACCAAGGCGACGAUCAGUAGCCGACCUGAGAGGGUGACCGGACACAUUGGGACUGAGACACGGCCCAGACUCCUACGGGAGGCAGCAGUGGGGAAUAUUGCACAAUGGAGGAAACUCUGGUGCAGCGACGCCGCGUGAGUGAAGAAGUAAUUCGUUAUGUAAAGCUCUAUCAGCAGGGAAGAUAGUGACGGUACCUGACUAAGAAGCUCCGGCUAAAUACGUG